RNAcentral lists this ribosomal RNA (785 nucleotides) under Lacticaseibacillus casei. RNAcentral describes it as "bacterial SSU rRNA". It matches the Rfam family "Bacterial small subunit ribosomal RNA", at positions 628 to 1413 of the family's 1533-position model. Lineage: Bacteria; Bacillati; Bacillota; Bacilli; Lactobacillales; Lactobacillaceae. The record is from RNAcentral.
GGAAACUGGGAAACUUGAGUGCAGAAGAGGACAGUGGAACUCCAUGUGUAGCGGUGAAAUGCGGAGAUAUAUGGAAGAACACCAGUGGCGAAGGCGGCUGUCUGGUCUGUAACUGACGCUGAGGCUCGAAAGCAUGGGUAGCGAACAGGAUUAGAUACCCUGGUAGUCCAUGCCGUAAACGAUGAAUGCUAGGUGUUGGAGGGUUUCCGCCCUUCAGUGCCGCAGCUAACGCAUUAAGCAUUCCGCCUGGGGAGUACGACCGCAAGGUUGAAACUCAAAGGAAUUGACGGGGGCCCGCACAAGCGGUGGAGCAUGUGGUUUAAUUCGAAGCAACGCGAAGAACCUUACCAGGUCUUGACAUCUUUUGAUCACCUGAGAGAUCAGGUUUCCCCUUCGGGGGCAAAAUGACAGGUGGUGCAUGGUUGUCGUCAGCUCGUGUCGUGAGAUGUUGGGUUAAGUCCCGCAACGAGCGCAACCCUUAUGACUAGUUGCCAGCAUUUAGUUGGGCACUCUAGUAAGACUGCCGGUGACAAACCGGAGGAAGGUGGGGAUGACGUCAAAUCAUCAUGCCCCUUAUGACCUGGGCUACACACGUGCUACAAUGGAUGGUACAACGAGUUGCGAGACCGCGAGGUCAAGCUAAUCUCUUAAAGCCAUUCUCAGUUCGGACUGUAGGCUGCAACUCGCCUACACGAAGUCGGAAUCGCUAGUAAUCGCGGAUCAGCACGCCGCGGUGAAUACGUUCCCGGGCCUUGUACACACCGCCCGUCACACCAUGAGAGUUU